GACGAACGCUGGCGGCGUGCUUAACACAUGCAAGUCGAACGGAAAGGCCCUGCUUGCUGGGUCCUCGAGUGGCGAACGGGUGAGUAACACUUGGGUGAUCUGCCCUGCACUUCGGGAUAAGCCUGGGAAACUGGGUCUAAUACCGGAUAGGAGCCAUUUUUAGUGUGAUGGUUGGAAAGUUUUUUCGGUGUAGGAUGAGCUCGCGGCCUAUCAGCUUGUUGGUGGGGUAAUGGCCCACCAAGGCGGCGACGGGUAGCCGGCCUGAGAGGGUGGACGGCCACAUUGGGACUGAGAUACGGCCCAGACGCCUACGGGAGGCAGCAGGGGGGAAGAUUGCACAAGGGGCGCAAGCCGGAUGCAGCGACGCCGCGUGGGGGAUGACGGCCUUCGGGUUGUAAACGCCUUUCGCUAGGGACGAAGCUUUUUGUGACGGUACCUAGAUAAGAAGCACCGGCUAACUACGUG
Molecule: ribosomal RNA, 465 nt
Filed under: uncultured bacterium
Lineage: Bacteria
Description: partial 16S ribosomal RNA
Rfam family: Bacterial small subunit ribosomal RNA
Source: RNAcentral